AGAAUCAACGCUGGCGGCGUGCCUAACACAUGCAAGUCGAACGAGAAAGUGGAGCAAUCCAUGAGUAAAGUGGCGCACGGGUGAGUAACACGUGACUAACCUACCCUCGAGUGGGGAAUAACUUCGGGAAACCGAGGCUAAUACCGCAUAACAUCUACGGAUCAAAUGCGUAAGCAGCUUGAGGAGGGGGUCGCGGCUGAUUAGCUAGUUGGCGGGGUAACGGCCCACCAAGGCAAUGAUCAGUAGCCGGCCUGAGAGGGCGCACGGCCACACUGGAACUGAAACACGGUCCAGACUCCUACGGGAGGCAGCAGUGGGGAAUUUUGCGCAAUGGGGGAAACCCUGACGCAGCAACGCCGCGUGGAGGAUGAGGCCCCUUGGGGUGUAAACUCCUUUCGAUCGGGACGAUUAUGACGGUACCGGAUGAAGAAGCACCGGCUAACUCUGUGCCAGCAGCCGCGGUAAUACAGAGGGUGCAAGCGUUGUUCGGAAUUAUUGGGCGUAAAGGGUGCGUAGGCGGUGCGGUAAGUCUUCUGUGAAAUCUCCGGGCUCAACCCGGAGCCUGCAGAGGAAACUGCCGUGCUGGAUAUGGGAAAAGUGAAAUUGAAAUUCCCGGUGUACCGGUGAAAUGCGUAGAUAUCGGGAGGAACACCUGUGGCGAAAGCGGCUCACUGGACCAUUACUGACGCUGAUGCACGAAAGCUAGGGGAGCAAACAGGAUUAGAUACCCUGGUAGUCCUAGCCCUAAACGAUGAUCGCUUGGUGUGACAGGUACCCAAUCCUGUUGUGCCGGAGCUAACGCGUUAAGCGAUCCGCCUGGGGAGUACGGUCGCAAGGCUGAA
RNAcentral lists this ribosomal RNA (842 nucleotides) under uncultured bacterium. RNAcentral describes it as "bacterial SSU rRNA". It matches the Rfam family "Bacterial small subunit ribosomal RNA", at positions 26 to 898 of the family's 1533-position model. The record is from RNAcentral.